UACGAAGGGGGCGAGCGUUGUUCGGAAUUACUGGGCGUAAAGGGCGCGUAGGCGGCCGUGGAAGUCAGGCGUGAAAGCCCCGGGCUCAACCUGGGAAUUGCGCUUGAUACUCCGGGGCUUGAGUUCGGGAGAGGAGAGUGGAAUUCCCAGUGUAGAGGUGAAAUUCGUAGAUAUUGGGAAGAACACCGGUGGCGAAGGCGGCGCUCUGGACCGAGACUGACGCUGAGGCGCGAAAGCGUGGGGAGCGAACAGG
This 253-nucleotide ribosomal RNA is filed under the name uncultured bacterium. Its description in RNAcentral is "partial 16S ribosomal RNA". It matches the Rfam family "Bacterial small subunit ribosomal RNA", at positions 524 to 776 of the family's 1533-position model. The record is from RNAcentral.